CAUUGAUCAUGGCGUCCAACAGCGGUACAACUCAGAUACUCGAAAAGUCUGCAGCCUUUGAGAAUCUCUGUGAUCCAUUGACUUUGCCCACAAAGAACAUGCCUCUUCCUUUCCAACUUGCACCUUCUCCUCCUUCAUAAAGAAAGAAGGCAGUCACCUACAUACACUUGGCAGAAGACAAGCUAGAGAUAACAGGACUAAUGAAGUGAAUGCCUGCUUCUGCCACCUCUCUCAACAUAUUACUGUACUGUGUUGAUAGUACAUAUGAAAAAGGACAAGA
Molecule: non-coding RNA, 280 nt
Organism: Cherax quadricarinatus
Lineage: Eukaryota; Metazoa; Arthropoda; Malacostraca; Decapoda; Parastacidae
Source: RefSeq, a predicted model, not a curated record